This is a long non-coding RNA of Ornithorhynchus anatinus (platypus), 1159 nucleotides long. RefSeq lists it as uncharacterized. The record is from RefSeq and is a predicted model, not a curated record. The transcript is spliced from 4 exons. Lineage: Eukaryota; Metazoa; Chordata; Mammalia; Monotremata; Ornithorhynchidae.
CCCGGGCUCCUUCCACUAAGCCACGCGGCUUCAAAUUUUUGGGCGGCACUCAAUCAGUGCUAUUUACUUAUCUGAUGGGUGCAGUGCUUAUUAAGCGCAAGAAGAGAGUACAACAGAAGCAAGAAACAGAUCUGCUGCCCUCAAACUCACAAGCUAAAGGCGGAGACGGAAUAAUGGGUGCAAUCGAAGAACAUCCCAAUGAAGCGGGACGCCGUAGCGGGUUUUGGAGGAGCCGAGGGGGAGGAUCUUCAAGAUGGCGACUCGGGCAGCAAUGUUUGGAGUCCCUAAAAGGCGACCCCCGGCACUACUGAGAAGACCACACUUUCAAAGCAGGGAAAGCAAUUCCUGGUAAAGAGAACUCUGAGAGCCUACGGAACACGAGUGAAUCUGAGACUCCCAGAAGGAAGACCUGGCUGACACGGGAGCAUCUAAAUGUUUUCAAAAUUCCAAGGAGCAGAUGGAAGGCGGAGAGAGCCAAGGUUCAAGGAGAAUCAAUCUGUCUCAGAAUCAAGAUCCGGGCAACAGAGCACUGAUUAAUCAGUCGCUCAAUGGUAAGGACGGAGCUUUUACCGCGUGCAGAGCCCUGUACCCGACAGACCUGCGUACUUCUACGAGGGGCCUCGCGCCCUUCUUGACUGGCACUGGGAAGGAGCCGAGCCGGUGGCCCCCGUGGGAACUCUGAUUGUUCUGCUUUAAAUUACCCUCAGUUCUCCGAUAAUGCGGGUGAAGUCCUCUGAAGAACAGCACGGUAGAGGAAAAUGGUGCUCGUGGAACUUGCGCUUUGACCGACGCUGCCGCUGGGCCGCCCGGUCAUUUCUUCCGGGGCCCUGCCCGGCUCGCUCGGCUCCCCGACGCCGUGAUCUCCGUGACCCAAGGGGAAACCACCUGCUCCGGGAGAAUCGACGGCCCGAGGGGACGCCGCUUCUGCAGGCCGACGUGCGGUCCAUCCCGCGGAGGAUGAGCCGGACCUUCGGCUCAUUGCAACUUAGUGCUUCCCUGCUAAGGAAUAACUGUCACUCAGAAUCUCGCUCAUCUACCCCAUACAGAUAAUAAAAAAAAACCCCCAAAAAACAAAAAUGAUUUAAAAGAAGAUCUCUGAAUAUGUCUAGGUCCUUGAAGCAGAGUCAAAUGGAUACUAAGAAAGCAUUAAACUUCAAAG